Molecule: ribosomal RNA, 253 nt
Filed under: Parasutterella excrementihominis YIT 11859
Lineage: Bacteria; Pseudomonadati; Pseudomonadota; Betaproteobacteria; Burkholderiales; Sutterellaceae
Description: partial 16S ribosomal RNA
Rfam family: Bacterial small subunit ribosomal RNA
Source: RNAcentral
UACGUAGGGUGCGAGCGUUAAUCGGAAUUACUGGGCGUAAAGGGUGCGCAGGCGGUUGAGUAAGACAGAUGUGAAAUCCCCGAGCUUAACUCGGGAAUGGCAUAUGUGACUGCUCGACUAGAGUGUGUCAGAGGGAGGUGGCAUUCCACGUGUAGCAGUGAAAUGCGUAGAUAUGUGGAAGAACACCGAUGGCGAAGGCAGCCUCCUGGGACAUAACUGACGCUCAGGCACGAAAGCGUGGGGAGCAAACAGG